Molecule: ribosomal RNA, 200 nt
Filed under: uncultured organism
Description: partial small subunit ribosomal RNA
Rfam family: Bacterial small subunit ribosomal RNA
Source: RNAcentral
UCAAGUCAGCACGGCCCUUACGUCCAGGGCGACACACACGCUACAAUGGCACGGACAACGGGCUGCGAACCCGCGAGGGGGAGCCAAUCCCAGCAAACCGUGCCUCAGUACAGAUUGCAGGCUGCAACCCGCCUGCAUGAAGACGGAGUUGCUAGUAACCGCAGGUCAGCACUACUGCGGUGAAUACGUUCCCGGGCCUU